GGUCGUCUUCAGUCUCAGGCACUGCCAGAUUGGCUGGUGAUGUGUCUGCUUGUAUUUUUCAGGAAGGAAAAUGAAUGGCAUUGGGAUUCGUAAAUAACCAGUGAAGCUCUGAAAGCUCAGCAUGAAGCUGAGGAGAAGAGCUGCUACAGGCUGUGUUUUUGUGCCAUGGAUGGCACAGAGGCUGGCUGAGGGGCAGUCCCAGAGCACCUUCAAUCUCCUCCUGCAGAUGAGGUGAGUGGGAGCUGCCCCAUAUGGAGGGACCCUGACCUUGUUAUCAGCUCAAAAUACCCUGGGGAUUGUGUGUGAGGUUUGGUUGCACUGUAGUUUGUAUAGUUCUCUCUUAUUACACUCUUUUUCUCCAAGUUUACAGUUGGAAAGGGAGAAGCAGUGCAGGCUUUGGGAUACAUAAAUGUCUUUACUGGACUAUUGCAUAAUGCAAUGCUAUUUGCAUCUAAGGUGUAAAUCUCAGUGAAACAAACUCAUUUCAGAAAGAUUAUAUAUAUGUAGAUUAUUUGCCUCCUAACCCUGUGCGUGUCUUCCUUGCUGCAAUAAAUAAGCAGCGCUGUGUACUACUGCA
RNAcentral lists this long non-coding RNA (577 nucleotides) under Coturnix japonica (Japanese quail). RNAcentral's name for it is "lncRNA (ENSCJPG00005001366.1)". Lineage: Eukaryota; Metazoa; Chordata; Aves; Galliformes; Phasianidae. The record is from RNAcentral.